This is a long non-coding RNA of Danaus plexippus (monarch butterfly), 431 nucleotides long. RefSeq lists it as uncharacterized. The transcript is spliced from 2 exons. The record is from RefSeq and is a predicted model, not a curated record. NCBI's taxonomy places the organism in Eukaryota, Metazoa, Arthropoda, Insecta, Lepidoptera, Nymphalidae.
UUUACUAUGUAGAAAAUUCAAUAUUUCUUUGUUACCUCACUUUCGUUUUUCAAUUUCCCAUUCCUUGGGGGAUUCCUUGUCAUAUAAAUGUUAAUUUCUCGAACACAUUUUCCUUUAUACAAAUUUGUUACUAUAAAAGCGUUGUAGCUCACCAGACUCGUUUAUUUUGUUUCAGUGUCGUAAAGAUGAAGGUUAUGAUAGUAAUGUUGCUUAUAUCUAUGGUGUAACAAAUGUCUCACGGUGACACCGUCCAUGGAGUGAAUGUUCCUGCAUCUACCACAGCUAAGUCAUGGACAAGGAAGUUGGGCGAGAAAGCGAGCAAGGUACUGUAUGGCCUGUCAGUGAUCGGUCAGGUGCAAGGAAUAGUACAAGGAGGUCGAGGAGGUCACAGACAUAAAGGGACAGCUCUCAAAAAAACAACAUAGUAUACG